RNAcentral lists this ribosomal RNA (445 nucleotides) under uncultured bacterium. RNAcentral describes it as "bacterial SSU rRNA". It matches the Rfam family "Bacterial small subunit ribosomal RNA", at positions 354 to 796 of the family's 1533-position model. The record is from RNAcentral.
GUAAGGAAUAUUGGACAAUGGCCGCAAGGCUGAUCCAGCCAUGCCGCGUGCAGGAUGAAGGUGCUCUGCAUUGUAAACUGCUUUUGUUCGGGAAUAAACCCCUCUAUGUAUAGGGGGCUGAAUGUACCGAAAGAAUAAGGGUCGGCUAACUUCGUGCCAGCAGCCGCGGUAAUACGAAGGACCCAAGCGUUAUCCGGAUUUAUUGGGUUUAAAGGGUGCGUAGGCGGGUUAUUAAGUCAGUGGUGAAAGCCUACAGCUUAACUGUAGAACUGCCAUUGAUACUGAUGAUCUUGAGUAUGAUUGAGGUGGGCGGAAUGUGUCAUGUAGCGGUGAAAUGCUUAGAUAUGACACAGAACACCGAUUGCGAAGGCAGCUCACUAAGCCAUAACUGACGCUGAUGCACGAAAGCGUGGGGAGCAAACAGGAUUAGAAACCCUAGUAGUCC